AGGGUUUCCCUCACUCUUUCCUAUAUAAAGGCAUCAAUUGCCUUGUGAGAGGGGUCUUCAACUUUUCAGCCGAAAAAUUGACAAGAAAAAUCUGAUUUUUCUUUCAUUUCCAGUCUUAGAUUAGUUUCAGCAUUUAGAUACACAAAAAAUUUAAAAAAAUACAUACAAAAAUCAGAAAACAACAAAAAUUACUGUUUCAUUGAUUAUGAGUAGCUGCUGGGUUUAUUUUCUGGUUUUCAGUUUAUAAUUUGGUCUGGGAUUUGUUGUGGACUGUUUUUGGAGUAACUUCUGCUGGGUUCUAGCUUUUUGUGGUUUCUUCAGGGUUAUUUACUGGGGUUUUCCAAAAUUUCUGGGUUAAUUCUUGCAUCUGGAGACUGCUAUGUUCCUGUUGAUGUGUUUUGGUUAUUUGAAGCUUCUACUGACCUCUGCUUUCCCUGUGUUACUUUGCUCUCCAGGUAUCUCUACUGUUUCUGUUGUGAAUUGUGAAAGAACAUGUGAAUAUGAUUUGGAGUUUGAAUGACAAAAUGCAAUUGGACUAGAUGAUUGAGUGGGUUGUUAUAUCUAUUAGUUUGAUUCAAUGGGAACUUGUAUAAAUGGACUUGGGAUUGUAUUAGGACCCAUGAAAAUUGUUUGAACUGUGUGAUUGUUUGGAUAUAUGCUUUGUUGAUCAUAGUUGAUUGUAUAUUUUAAACUUGAGCAAGUUAGAUGCAAACUGAUCUUGUAAUAAUGGACUGAGAACAUGUUAGUAUUACCUGAGUUGAUCACUAUAUUGACUCUAAACUGCUUGUUGAAUUCUAAAUAUUAAUUGUGGGUCAAAUCGUGUUGAUAACUUAAGUUAAGUUUUAAUUUGCUUUUUUUAAUAGCUCGUGUUCCUGGAUAUAUGUAAAAUAAUUCCCUGAUAAUGCUAGCUUUAGUUAUUGGGUUUCAAGCAGGGUUGUAGUCAAAUGAAGUUAUCAAUUAGGAUCUUGUGUUAAUGCCUAACAGGGACUGGAAUUUUGAUUAAAAAUUGUAUUAGUGAUUCAAAAGAACCACCUUUUUUUGGCAUAUAUAGUAGUUGAAAAAUUAACAAGAUAAUAUUCAAGCUGAAAGUUGUUUGAAGGAUUUGAUUCCUCUUCCUCUCUUUCGUAUGCUCAAGGUCACCUGGUCUAGGCUGGCUCUAGGCCUAAUCGCCACAAUCGAGACCAGCAGGCCUCAAUGUUGGAAUUAUAUCCAGGCCCAUUGGCAAGACCAAUUCGGAGCCACUUUUAGUUCAGUUGUUUGCAGCCUUGGAGGCUCGAUGGUUGCUUGUGUUUGAUUUCUAUAUCGUUUUCCUCGGAGCCAGCUGUUGGGCCGGCGUUUUAGCCCAAUUCUCUUUCCAUAGUUCAAGAUCUCAAUUAAUUUUUGAAAUAUAGAUUUCGAGUGUGGUAGCGGGUUUUAAAUUAAAAGGCCCAUCCUUUUGUUUGAAUUCGGACUUGAACUUGAAGCCCGGAUUUUGAAUUUAAUUAAUUAGGAACUCCUUUUUCCUUAUUAGAGACAAAAAAUAAAAAAAUAGAAAAAAUAUAGUUACUUUUAGGUUUAUCCUUUUAAAAUAAAAUGAGACGAGCCUCGCCAAAUAAAAUGUAAAACUGUGGGGCCCUCAAUAAAGGUUUAAAAAAUAUUUAGAAAAUAUGGAAGGGUCUUUAGUGAAUUUCACGGUCCUCCCAAAAGAUUACAACGCGUUAGACUCUAUUAGGCGCGACUUUACUAAAUUAUAUUCCUAAAUACGGGUGGACAUUUUAUGCGGCCCAAAUCUAAAUCCUAUAACAUUGAAUAGAGUGUGCCUAAGAUUGCGGGUUCAUUUGAUGCGGCGCAAUCCGAAAAUACACUUUAAACGACGUUCACUUUCUCAAAUAAAUAUUAUGUUAAAUAAAAUCCGUAAAAACUAAAAAUUGGCACAUAGGCAUUUCAUGUAUUAAAAUUAGAUUUUAGCCAUUCAUAGCAAUUUAAGCGAUCGUGCUAGAACCACGGGAUCCGAGGGUGCCUACACCUUCCCUCGGGUCAACCGAAUUCCUUAUUCCUAAUUUCUUGUUCGCAGACUCCAAUUGGGAAGUCAAACAUUUUCCUCGGACUGGGAUUUAAAAUAAAUUGGUGACUUGGGACACCAAAAGCCAAACCUUUCCCAAGUGGAGACUCUGAAUAACUAAAUAAUCCCAUGAUAAAUGAUGUCACUUUAAAUGGAAAAACUCUCUUAUACAUUUAUCCUGCGGGGUAGGUGUGUAAAAAGGAGGUGUGACAGCUCUGGCGACUCUGCUGGGGACAAGAACUCGUAACAUUUUGUUCAGGGUUAAGAAUUCGAGCUUAGAAUAAUUGUUGUGUUUAGCUUUAUCUAAUUCUGUUACAUGAUAUGUGCUUAAUGUGAUAAUUGAUUGCUUUUACCUCUUUGAUAUUAUUUGAACUGUAUAUAAAUUGUGCCGAAUUUGAAGAAGGGUGUUGGGGUGUACGACUUAUUUUCUGUCUAGUAUCACAAUCCCAAUUUAAAACGAGGUUUGGAUAAGUUGCAAAUCCGACGAAGCUUCUGUAUUCCCGGAUUGCCAUCUCCCCCUCGGCUCGAGCUGUCCGCUCGGGUAAGCCAGGUCUAGAACAAACACCCAGGUUUUAAACCUAGAAUAACUCAGCCUCAUGCCGGAUCCCUAGUAGGAACGCUUAUUUGUAUCAUCUGCAUUUUGACUAAGGGGACUCAACAUAGGGGUUGGGUCCGUCUAGGGCUAGCAACCUGAAAUGAAAAGACUAUCCGAUGAAUUCUACUUGUUUUCUAUGCAUUUAUUUGCUCGGUCUUGCAUGUUGACCGGCUUUUUGAAUCUCGAGGAUGUUAGAAAAUUAGAAAAAAGAAAGUCAGAGAGUUAACUGAUUAAUUUAGAAAAAACCAAUAUCCAAGUACUAUCAGAACUCUGCCGAAAUUUGAAAAAAAAAAUGCAAAAUGUUUUUAUAUAUAGGUUGUUUUAGAAAGAGAUUUUUGGAAAAUUAUUGAAAAAGAAUUAAAAAAGGGGUUUCAAAAUGGAAAAUCUUGAAAAAAGUGUUUUAUCUUAAAUUUUAGUUAGCUUAAGUGCCGAACUACGCUGGUCUGAUUCUCACAGGGGGUGGGAUACGUUGGCAGCCUCAUCGGGUCCAACCUUUUUUUUAAAUAGCCAAAAAUGCCAAGAUUUUGAGAUUUUUGUCAUAAAUAAGUCGGGUGAUUCCGUUUGCGCAAAAAUAGCCAAAUGUUCCCAAACGGGACGCCGUAUGGCUGACCUUGCAUGAAUAGCCACUUUUGAUCUCAUUUUGAUUUUUGACCUCACAACCUUAAGUUCUCAUCCACGAGGUGUUGAAAGGCCAUGGUGGCAAUACUUGGUCGCUUAUUUUUGAAGAAAAAAAGAGGAAAAAGAGUUGUAAAUAAGUCAAGUAAGGUCGUUUUGUCGUAAACAGCCGAAUGUUCCCGAAAGGGACGUCAGAAGGCGCCAAUUGUGAUUUUGACCGGUUGAAUACACAGCCUUUAAAUCUUCAUUUGUGAAGUGCUGAAAGGCCAUGUUUGAAAAUCGAGUCUUUACUUUCCAAUUUGAAAAACACAAAAAACAGCAUAUGAAUAAUUUACCUUUUUGAGUCGAAUAAAAGCUUUUCUUUUACUUAAUCGCCUUAAUAAAUAUGUAGGAUGAGCACAAAUCAAAUUGGACUAUUCUCAGUUUUUAGUGUGGUCCCUCUACAGCUCCACAUGUGGUGGAAUGACCUGGGAGAUGAUAGUAAAAAGACAAUGGAAAGAAUUUUGGGAGGCCUCGUCAGUCUGUUAGAUAUCAAGCCAAGGGCAGAUAUCAUCGAAGCUUUAAUACCAUUUUGGGAUCCGACCCGUAAUAUGUUCCGCUUCACGGACUUUGAGCUUACACCUACACUUGAGGAGGUUGCGGGUUAUGCAGGUUUGGAUGGAAAAUUGAGGGGGAAAUAUUUGCUUUCACCUGGACCGGUGUCUCCACAUGGGUUUUUGAAUUUGCUACACAUUAAUUGGAAGGUGCAAGCUGACGAUCUGUCAAAAGGUUAUUGUGCUGUUUAAUUUUUAUAUCAACGGUACGGUAGUUUUGAAUUUGCUAUGCAUUAAUCGAAAGGUGCAAGAUGACGAUCUGUCAAAAGGUUAUUGUGCUCUCCAAUUUUUAUAUCAACAGUAUGGUAGUCCUCGGGGUUUGAAGAACCAAAUCUCGGACUCACUCAUGACGGCGACAGAGACAAGUGGGCGGCAAUACAUCCUUUAGCUUUCCUGACGGCCUUCCUGGGGAUCGUGGUUUGUCCAUGCAAAGAUAAGAAAAUAGAGAUAGGCCUUGUAGGGAUGGCCGACGUUGCGAUCAAAAGGCCUAACAGUACUGUGGUCCCUUUGGUGUUAUCUGAAAUCUACCAAGCCUUAACUGUGUUGUCGGGAGGGAGGCGAUUUCUUCCAGGGUUGUAAUCUAUUACUCCAUCUAUAGAUACAAGAACAUCUCUGUCAUCGUGUAGGAUACAUGAACCACGGGUUGACUGGAAAGAACUACAUCAGUGGUUUUGAGAAACGGGUGAUAGGCGUUGAAUUCCCUAAAGGUAUUGAAGCAUGGUUUGCAUGGUUGAGGUCAUUGACAUCUAAUCAAGUCGAAUGGGCAUUUGGAUGGUUUCCUAAUACUGAGGUAAUACACAUGGCGGCUGAAGAAUGUCAUAUUCUUUUGAUGGGGGUUCGCAGUAUCCAGCCCUAUGCUCUUCAUCGAGUAUUGCGCCAGCUAAGAAGGUUUCAGACGAUCCCCACUGAUAAAGAUCUAAGCAAGUAUUCCAUUGAGUUAAGUCCAAGAGCCAUAUUUCCGAAAAGGAAGUUCGAAAUCUAUGGAAUGAAUGUAUAUUUCUUGAGUCAAAGACCAUGGUUCGAGAACGGGCUAAGUGAGAAGUAGAUCCAAAGUACGAUGCUUGGUUCGAAAAAAGGUUCCAAAUUCAGAGACCUGCUAAAAGAGCUCAUGUCCAACAAUUUACGGAUGACUCGCAAGAACAGUAGCGCUGGUUGGAAAAGGAAGAGAAAUAUCUGGCCAAAAUUGGUAAGUUGAAGCAACAGAUUGCAAAGUUGAUCUUCGAGAAUAGUGUGCAAGUCGCGGCAGACCAAGGUGAAAAGAAUAGACUAACUCAAGAAAAUGAGAUGCUCAAAUCUCAAAUCCAGCAAAUGAAGGUCGCCGCCAAGAAUCAAUGAAGAAGUAUGUCAGAUGAAAGACACAUAAAAUCUUUGAAAAAUGAGAUUAAUGAGUGUCAGGACGAGUUGAGAAGAUCUGAGAACAUCAUGGCAGAACUCAAGGCACAAUGGGCUAGAAGGUCAGAAGAGCGGCGUCAAUACCUCCAGCAACUGAAAAAGGAACACACAAAAAUUGUGGCCAACUUGUAGGGAAAAGUAAUGUUCCUUGAAGAUAAAGUGGCAAAACAGGAUAGAAGUUUUGAAAUGGAGAGCAGACAGUGUUACGAUUUGCUAUCCCAAAUGGAAUUAGAAGUGCAACAAUUGCAAGAUCAGCACUUCCAAGACUCUCAGGCAUUGAAAACGUGCAGUAAUCAAAUCAAACGUUUGCUCACAUAAAAAAGGGAAACAAGGAACAGAAUUGUAGCCAUUGACCAUGCUAUCCUCAGGAGAUGCCGGGCAUGCGAGAACAUGACCAUCACCAUUUUUUUCUUAGAUGUAAUGAUUUAUGUCAAAAGGACUAUGAGCGAAUUGGAGGAUCUUGAACAUGAUUUAGCACCUAGAACUGUGGCAAGGACGAAUGACGUCCCGCAGGCACCUAUUUUGAAGCAUUGGAGUAUGCAUAGCUAGAGUCUGUAUUUUCCUAUUUUUGAGUUUGUUUGUCCUUUUCAUGUCAAAAUGAAUCUUUAGUUUGUAAUCGGUUCUAGUUUGCGUCUGUCAUUUCUUUAAAACUUGGUCCUAGUUUGCGUCUGUCAUUUUCUUUUGCAAGAAGUUUAGUUUGUAAUAGUUUGUGUUAUUAAUGAAAAUUUAAAAAUUCCCAAAAAAUUGUUUUGCACUUGUUCUACAAACUACGCUUGGUCUAAGCUGUGCAGGAUCACGAUACGUAGGCAAUCUCCAUAGGAUUCGACCGUAGGAAAGAGAAACGGUAGAGAAACAUAGAAAGAAAAGAGAAAACCAAAACAGAGAAAAGAGGAAAACGGGAAAAUUUGAAUAAAUAAAAGAGUGAAGCAAGUAGGGAAAUAGAAAAGCUGGGAUGACACAUGCCUCCAUUGAUGUGAUUACCUGUCUAUGUUUUCCCAAUACUAAACGUUGGCUACUUCCCUUUCCAGAUCUCAUGUUUAUAAGAAACAUGUGGUCGGUUUGUGGUAAGCUGGCUUCACAUCCUUACUUCACCAGAUCUAAAGGUAGCAUAGAGAUGUCUUCGGAAAUGACUCUGCCAACGGUCCCUAUUCCAGAUUACAGCCCGCUCUCGGGUGUCCCGAUCUCAUAAUCUUCUGUAGCUGAAGAAAAUGGAACGCAUGGACAAAGGGAAGGAACCCCCGGACACCAUCUCCGGAUUCCCCGAGAUGCUCACACGACUGUGAAGACCCGACCCGUCGUCCUUUGUAUUUCAGACCCGACAGCUCGCUCUCGGGUGUCCCGGUCUCAGAAUCCUCUAUAGCUGAAGAAAACAUAAUUUUGCAUCUAAGAAUGAUGGAGAUGUGGGAUGCAUGGACAAACGGGAAGGAACCCCCGGAGACCAUCCCCAGAUUCCCGAGAUGCUCACAAAGCCGGCUGGGGCUUCGAGUGUUCCAAUCUGUCUCCCAUAAAUCCCAUUGGGACAACCCACAAUAUCUGCCCACUAUGUAGGAGGCACAUAUGAUGUUUGCCCACAGGCAUUCAUGCGCGGAAUCACCCCACAUAUUUUCACUGCUCUGGCAUCUACUGCUACAACACCUCCAAUAGUUCCAAAGCCCGUCUUCGAAAACAAUUUCACAAAAAAGCACUUUCAAAAACAAUUUCACAAAAAAGCUCCACACUCGGGCAUGGGACCUCGGAUUUCUAUUCCGGGAAUACGCCCGAGUCCCAAAUUUUAUUACGGACCCACCGGGACCGUCACAUCAUGGGUUCAGGUCCGUUUAUCCAAAAAGUUGACCAAGGUCAACUAUAGCAAUAUUAGUAUCAAAAUUCAUAGUUUUUAACACAGAGUUCAAAUAUUUUCACAUAAAAAUAUUCCAGCUUCGCGCUCGGAAUGCGCACACAAAUAGAGACAACCAAAUAAGAGGUUUUCAAGGCCUCAUAAGUGAAAGGAAAUGGAUAAUUUUAGUGAUGACCCUUUGGGUUAUCACAGGUAUGGUGACGGUUACCUAUGCGCCCGAGUCUAGCAUGACCGUGACUCAUAAUUGCUAAUAAAUUUUUUGAAAGAGGCUAACAAUUUAUGAUAAUUACUUGUUAAAUGCACUAUGAAAUGAUAGAUGAGAAGAAAAUGAGCUAAAUAAGGAAUUUUGGUACAUUUCCCUUGCCGAGACUUAUUGUUGAGCUGUUUUUCCUUGUCGAGACUUAUUGUUGAGCUAUUUUUCCUUGCUGGUAUAUUUUAUCUUGUUAUAUAUACCUUUCCAGUUUGGUUGUGACCAUUGAUUGGGUGAGGAAGAGAGAUAUUAAGCACGAAGGGUCUUUCCGUUUCAUGUUUCUUGAUUAUUUGAGCACGAAGGGUCAUUCCGUGCCUUGUUGUGAGAGUCAUGUGAGGAAAGCACGAAGGGUGAUGUCGUGCACUAUGUUUUGAGAGUAAAAGAACGAAGGGUGAUGACAUGCACUGUGUAUUGAGAAUAAAAGCAUGAAGGGUGAUGUCGUGCAUUAUAUUUGACAGUUCUUGUGAGAAAUGAGAGUAAAAGCACGAAGGGUGGUGCCGUGUAGUUGUUGAUUCACUGGCUUUCUAUUUAAUGUUAUAUAUUCAGUUCCAGCCCUUGUUUGUUGGAUUUAUAAUUGAACUGUUACACCCUAGCAUGUCCCCUCCCUAUUAUCUGUUUUAAUAUUUUAUUAUCUUUAUGUUAUUGCACAUAUAUCUAUACAGGUUGAUUGUGGUAGGUCCAGCUUAGCCUCGCCACCACCUCGUCGGAGUUAGGCUGGGCACUUACCAGCACAUGGGGUCGGUUGUGCUGAUAAUACACUUCUGUGCCUUUUGUGCACAUGUCAGGACACAGCGUAUGGACCGUAGCAGUAGCUAGGGAGCGAUCCUUCAGUCCAGAGACUUCGAGGUAGUUCGCUGGCUUUCAUGGGCCCUGGGUCUCAUCUAUCUUUUUCUGUUUGUUUUAUUGUAUCAAAACAGACUUGUUAUACAUUUCUUUCAGACUGAUAUUUGUAGAACUGCGUUAGUAGUCUGUGAGUCGUGACAACAGAUGCUGGGUAGUGUUAUGUCAUAGUCUUCCGCACUUUGUUAGUAUUUCUAUUAAAAAGUCUUUCGCGCGUUUUAUUUAAUUA
RNAcentral lists this long non-coding RNA (8392 nucleotides) under Nicotiana benthamiana. Its description in RNAcentral is "long non-coding RNA (NBEN_LNC040307)". The record is from RNAcentral. Lineage: Eukaryota; Viridiplantae; Streptophyta; Magnoliopsida; Solanales; Solanaceae.